RNAcentral lists this ribosomal RNA (353 nucleotides) under uncultured bacterium. RNAcentral's name for it is "partial 16S ribosomal RNA". It matches the Rfam family "Bacterial small subunit ribosomal RNA", at positions 338 to 688 of the family's 1533-position model. The record is from RNAcentral.
CCUACGGGAGGCAGCAGUGAGGAAUAUUGGUCAAUGGGCGCGAGCCUGAACCAGCCAAGUAGCGUGAAGGAUGACUGCCCUACGGGUUGUAAACUUCUUUUAUAAAGGAAUAAAGUGAGGCACGUGUGCCUUUUUGUAUGUACUUUAUGAAUAAGGAUCGGCUAACUCCGUGCCAGCAGCCGCGGUAAUACGGAGGAUCCGAGCGGUAUCCGGAUUUAUUGGGUUUAAAGGGAGAGUAGAUGGGUUGUUAAGUCAGUUGUGAAAGUUUGCGGAUCAACGGUAAAAGUGAAAUUGAUAUUGGAAGCUUGGAGUACAUUUGAGGGAGGAGGAAUCCGUGGGGUAGCGGUGAAAUG